CCUACGGGUGGCAGCAGUAGGGAAUCUUGCACAAUGGGCGAAAGCCUGAUGCAGCGACGCCGCGUGAGUGAAGAAGUAUUUCGGUAUGUAAAGCUCUAUCAGCAGGGAAGAAAAUGACGGUACCUGAGUAAGAAGCCCCGGCUAACUACGUGCCAGCAGCCGCGGUAAUACGUAGGGGGCAAGCGUUAUCCGGAUUUACUGGGUGUAAAGGGAGCGUAGACGGCAGCACAAGUCUGGAGUGAAAUGCCGGGGCUUAACCCCGGAACUGCUUUGGAAACUGUGCAGCUAGAGUGCAGGAGAGGUACGUGGAAUUCCUAGUGUAGCGGUGAAAUGCGUAGAUAUUAGGAGGAACCCCAGUGGCGAAGGCGGCUUACUGGACUGUAACUGACGUUGAGGCUCGAAAGCGUGGGGAGCAAACAGGAUUAGAUACCCGAGUAGUC
Molecule: ribosomal RNA, 440 nt
Filed under: uncultured bacterium
Lineage: Bacteria
Description: partial 16S ribosomal RNA
Rfam family: Bacterial small subunit ribosomal RNA
Source: RNAcentral